RNAcentral lists this RNase P RNA (388 nucleotides) under Nocardioides sp. AE5. Its description in RNAcentral is "RNase P RNA component class A". It matches the Rfam family "Bacterial RNase P class A". From Rfam's summary of the family: Ribonuclease P (RNase P) is a ubiquitous endoribonuclease, found in archaea, bacteria and eukarya as well as chloroplasts and mitochondria. Lineage: Bacteria; Bacillati; Actinomycetota; Actinomycetes; Propionibacteriales; Nocardioidaceae. The record is from RNAcentral.
UGAGCUGGCCGGGCGACCGCGUCACCUGCAAGGGUGCCGAGGAAGGUCCGGGCUCCACAGGGCAGGGUGGUGGCCAACAGCCACCCGGGGUGACCCGCGGGACAGUGCCACAGAGAACAGACCGCCUCCCGGGACCGAUCCGUCGGGACCGGGCGGUAAGGGUGAAACGGUGGUGCAAGAGACCACCAGCGUGCCGGGUGACCGGCACGGCUAGGCAAACCCCACCCGGAGCAAGAUCAAGGAGCACGUGUUCGAGGGCGGCCCGCCCGAGCGUGCGGGUGGAUCGCUUGAGGCUGCUGGCAACAGCAGGCCCAGAUGGAUGGUCGCCAACCGGAGUGGUCGCAAGGCCCCCGGCGAACAGAACCCGGCCUAUGAGCCAGCUCAUCCG